Molecule: long non-coding RNA, 498 nt
Filed under: Sciurus vulgaris (Eurasian red squirrel)
Lineage: Eukaryota; Metazoa; Chordata; Mammalia; Rodentia; Sciuridae
Description: lncRNA (ENSSVLG00005019680.1)
Source: RNAcentral
CGAGUCCAGUGCCCAGUAGAGGGGGAGACGGGUGGGGGGGAGGACAGGUGAUGGACAGGCACGAACCCUGCAGGUUUUGACACCAAGAUCAUGAAGAACUGCGGCCAGAUCCACCUGAAGAGAACCAAGCUAGACCUUCUCAUGAACAGGCUGGUGGUCCUGAUCUUCCUGUCCCUGGUGGUGGUCUCCGUGACCUUGACCCUGGGCUUCAGUUUGAAGGGCCGAGUUCAUCUACCUGGGGAACAGCAUCUUCAUCAACUGGGACAUGCAGAUGUACCACGCACCGCAGGACAUGCCAGCCAAGGCCCGCAGCACCAGCCUCAAUGACCAGCUGGGCCAGGUGCAGUACAUCUUCUCGGACAAGACCGGCACGCUCACGCAGAACACCAUGACGUUCAAGAAGUGCUGCAUCGCCGGCCGCAUCUACGGUGGGCCCCGCUGAGGACCAGGGCCACUGCGGUCCCCGCAAGGAGCCUGAACCCCCGUCUGUGCCACACU